RNAcentral lists this ribosomal RNA (251 nucleotides) under uncultured Ehrlichia sp. RNAcentral's name for it is "partial 16S ribosomal RNA". It matches the Rfam family "Bacterial small subunit ribosomal RNA", at positions 524 to 774 of the family's 1533-position model. Lineage: Bacteria; Pseudomonadati; Pseudomonadota; Alphaproteobacteria; Rickettsiales; Anaplasmataceae. The record is from RNAcentral.
AACGGAGGGGGCAAGCGUUGUUCGGAAUUAUUGGGCGUAAAGGGCACGUAGGUGGACUAGUAAGUUAAAAGUGAAAUACCAGAGCUUAACUUUGGAGCUGCUUUUAAUACUGCUAGACUAGAGGUCGAAAGAGGAUAGCGGAAUUCCUAGUGUAGAGGUGAAAUUCGUAGAUAUUAGGAGGAACACCAGUGGCGAAGGCGGCUAUCUGGUUCGAUACUGACACUGAGGUGCGAAAGCGUGGGGAGCAAACA